Molecule: long non-coding RNA, 640 nt
Organism: Poecilia reticulata (guppy)
Lineage: Eukaryota; Metazoa; Chordata; Actinopteri; Cyprinodontiformes; Poeciliidae
Source: RefSeq, a predicted model, not a curated record
AACGGCGUGGAGUGAAAACUGGAUAAAAGAGGAAAGACUCGGCUUCGCUGCCGCUCAACAACACAGCGGGCCGUUAACCAUGCGGAGGUCCGACAAGAAUGCGCCAUACGUCACAGUGUGUGUGGAAUGCCGUCACUUCGCCGGCUGACUUCGACCUGAACCGUCCUAUGAAUAGACCCGACCAGGGAACCAUAAAUAGGCCUGGCAGCACAAAGCCAGGAUGAUGUUCUUGUCCUGCAAGCUAAAGCCAAUCAGGUUUACAAAGUAGCUGGCAGACAAAUCAAAUGAUGACUCUUCCAUUUUCAGAACCCCCCUAAAAGUGACAGCCUUGUUCUGAAUGCUGAUUCAUUUCCACCUAGAGACUAAAUACCUCACACCAGGGAGGAAAUGACCAUCCAGGGAAGACCUGCCUCAUACAAAUCCUGCUGAGAAAAGAUACGGAGAUGUUUGUUUUAAACUUGUGAUUCAUUCUUCCUAAUAACUUCUCAUGUGACAAACUGAGAUGCCUUGUGAUUCAGUCCAUGCUCUUCUAAAUAAGGCCCUGAGCUCCUCUGUGAUAUUCAGCUUUGUGUUCAGCACUCACCGUCUUUAUUUAAGCCCAGACACAGAUAGCAGGGAAGUAGUAAAUUAAUGAAGUGAU